ACCCGAAGGUGGUGCGCUAACCUGGCAACAGGAGGCAGCCAACCACGGUAGGGUCAGCGACUGGGGUGAAGUCGUAACAAGGUAGCCGUAGGUGAACCUGCAGAAGGAUCA
Molecule: ribosomal RNA, 111 nt
Filed under: uncultured eukaryote
Lineage: Eukaryota
Description: partial small subunit ribosomal RNA
Rfam family: Bacterial small subunit ribosomal RNA
Source: RNAcentral